Molecule: non-coding RNA, 259 nt
Filed under: Sporanaerobacter acetigenes
Lineage: Bacteria; Bacillati; Bacillota; Tissierellia; Tissierellales; Sporanaerobacteraceae
Description: T-box sequence
Rfam family: T-box leader
About the family: Uncharged tRNA acts as the effector for transcription antitermination of genes in the T-box leader family. T-boxes are found upstream of many aminoacyl-tRNA synthetase genes and some amino acid biosynthetic genes usually in Gram-positive bacteria. The anticodon of a specific tRNA base pairs to a specifier sequence within the T-box motif, and the NCCA acceptor tail of the tRNA base pairs to a conserved bulge in the T-box antiterminator hairpin.
Source: RNAcentral
UGUAAAGUGAUGAGGGAGAUAAAAAUACUAGUCUUCUAACUACAGAGAGCUGAUAUUUGGUGGAAAUCAGUGUUAGAAAUGUAUAUAAUGAUCACUCCUUAGCUUCCGAUUUGAAAUAUUUUAAGUAAAUGACGACGGUUUCCACCGAUAAAUGGAUAGAGUUCAAGUAAUUUUAAAUUUAUAUUUACUUCGACUUGAUUAAAGGCGAUUAUUUUAAUCGUAAAAUAGGGUGGUACCGCGAAAAGCUUUCGUCCCUAUG